UACGUAGGUGGCAAGCGUUGUCCGGAAUUAUUGGGCGUAAAGCGCGCGCAGGCGGUCCUUUAAGUCUGAUGUGAAAGCCCACGGCUCAACCGUGGAGGGUCAUUGGAAACUGGGGGACUUGAGUGCAGGAGAGAAGAGUGGAAUUCCCGGUGUAGCGGUGAAAUGCGCAGAUAUCGGGAAGAACACCCGUGGCGAAGGCGGUUCUCUGGGACGGUACUGACGCUGAGACGCGAAAGCGUGGGGAGCGAACAGG
Molecule: ribosomal RNA, 253 nt
Filed under: uncultured bacterium
Lineage: Bacteria
Description: partial 16S ribosomal RNA
Rfam family: Bacterial small subunit ribosomal RNA
Source: RNAcentral